Non-coding RNA from Punica granatum (pomegranate), 4001 nucleotides. The record is from RefSeq and is a predicted model, not a curated record. NCBI's taxonomy places the organism in Eukaryota, Viridiplantae, Streptophyta, Magnoliopsida, Myrtales, Lythraceae.
CAACAAAGGGACUCAAAAGAUGACGAGGGACAGAUAACGGAGCGUACUCAAACAACAGGCUAAGGUUGCGGUCUGUUCUGCGGAGACAGACAGAGCCACUCCCAAAUGGCCAUGCUGGCUCUCCCUUUAGUCGUCACCAUUCUCAGGCCCCACGCCUCCCAGUUUUGCCUCCUCCGCCAUGGAUCCCCCUACCCCCACCGCCUUUUCCACCCCCUCGCCGGCCGCUGCAGCCGCCACUUCUCCAGGGCCUCUCCCGUCUCAGCAAUCAGCAGCGGAACCUCCGCCGCCCCUCAGCACUCGUCCACUGAUGAAGAGCCCCACAAGGCAUCUGCUGCUCCCACUUUUCAGCAGGCCAUCCAGCGGCUGCAGGAAUAUUGGGCUUCAGUUGGUUGUGCUGUAAUGCAAUGUAGCAAUACUGAGGUUGGAGCUGGGACUAUGAAUCCUCUGACAUAUUUGAGAGUUCUUGGUCCAGAACCGUGGAAUGUUGCUUAUGUAGAACCUAGUAUUCGACCGGAUGAUAGUCGUUAUGGGGAAAACCCUAAUAGGCUCCAACGUCACACUCAAUUUCAGGUUAUACUGAAGCCUGACCCUGGGAAUUCACAAGAUUUAUUUAUACGAAGUCUAGCAGCGUUAGGUAUUGAUGUCAGUGAACAUGACAUACGAUUUGUGGAGGAUAACUGGGAGAGCCCGGUGUUGGGAGCAUGGGGUCUGGGCUGGGAGAUAUGGAUGGAUGGAAUGGAAAUUACACAGUUCACCUAUUUCCAGCAGGCGGGAAGUCUUCCAUUGAUGCCUGUAUCUGUUGAAAUCACUUAUGGGCUCGAGCGCAUCCUUAUGUUACUUCAGGGGGUAGAUCAUUUCAAAAAGAUUCGAUAUGCUGAUGGAAUAACAUAUGGGGAACUCUUUUUGGAGAAUGAGAAGGAAAUGAGUGCAUAUUACCUGGAGCAUGCAAGUGUCGACCAUGUUCAGAAACACUUUGACUUGUUUGAAGAAGAAGCUCGUUCAUUGCUUGCGUUGGGCCUUCCUAUUCCUGCGUAUGAUCAGCUUCUGAAGACAUCGCAUGCUUUCAAUGUGUUGGACUCCCGAGGUUUUGUUGGAGUGACAGAACGUGCUCGCUACUUUGCUCGGAUGCGCAGUUUAGCUCGGCAAUGCGCUCAGCUGUGGUUAAAGACGAGGGAGUCUUUGGGACAUCCUCUUGGUAUUGUUUCUGAACCUGCUCAUGUUGCUUGUCCGAAAGAGGUUUUGGAGGAAGCUGCGAAAAGAGUCCAAGAUCGAGCAAGGUUAUUUGUACUCGAAGUUGGAACUGAGGAAAUGCCACCCGAUGAUGUAGUUAAUGCAAGGCAGCAACUUAAAGAUCUAGUAUUGCUUUUGCUGGAAAGCAAACGGUUCAGUCAUGGUGAAGUGCGAGCAUUUGGAACACCUCGUAGGCUUGUGAUUACUGUGGAGAGUCUUGAAGCUAAGCAGAUGGAGAAUGAGGUCGAAGUUCGAGGACCUCCUGUUUCUAAGGCAUUUGAUGAACAAGGAAAGCCCACAAAGGCUGCUGAAGGAUUUUGUCGUCGAUAUUCUAUUGGCAUGGAGUCCUCAUUCAGAAAGACUGAUGGUAAAACUGAUUACGUGUAUGCCCGUGUGAAGGAGUCAGCUCGAUUUGCUCUAGAGGUCUUAUCUGAAGAUUUGCCUGGCACAAUAUCAAAGAUGUCAUUCCCAAAGUCCAUGCGCUGGAACUCUCAGGUCAUGUUUAGCCGACCUAUUCGAUGGAUUUUGGCUCUCCAUGGGGAUGUCGUUGUGCCAUUUACAUUUGCUGGACUAUCAAGUGGAAAUCUAUCGUACGGCCUUCGGAAUACUCCUUUUGCUACUGUGACAGUAGGAAGUGCAGAAUCUUAUGUGGAUUCAAUGACGAAGGCUGGUAUUGAACUGGAUAUAGAGGAACGCAAGAAUAAGAUAUUGGAGGUCUCCAGCGCUUUAGCAUCUACUGUGAAUGGGCAAAUUGUUGCUAAGGAAGGAUUACUGAACGAGGUUGUGAAUCUUGUUGAAGCUCCUGUUCCUAUACUGGGGAGGUUCAAUGAAUCUUUCAUGGAGCUUCCUGAUGAUCUAUUGACUAUGGUCAUGCAGAAGCAUCAGAAAUAUUUUGCUGUAAGUGAUGCUAAAGGGGCGCUCUUGCCAUACUUCAUCGCUGUUGCAAAUGGAGCCAUUAAUGAGGCAGUAGUGAGAAAAGGAAAUGAAGCUGUUCUCAGAGCUCGCUAUGAAGAUGCAAAGUUUUUUUAUGAGAUGGAUACGCGUAAAAGUUUUGCAGAAUUCCAAGGCCAGUUGAAUGGCAUUCUUUUCCAUGAAAAGCUGGGUACAAUGCUUGAUAAGACAACCCGCCUGCAGAACACAGUUGUUAGAGUGAGUUCUGCAAUGGGCCUUACCAGCGAGAAAGUGAAACUCGUCCAAGAUGCUGCAUCACUAGCAAUGUCAGAUCUUUCCACGGCAGUCGUAACCGAGUUCACAUCGCUUGCGGGAAUUAUGGGACGUCAUUAUGCUCUGAGAAAUGGCUAUCGUGAGGAGAUAGCUGAGGCGUUGUUUGAGAUCACACUCCCACGAUUUUCUGGAGAUAUUCUUCCCAAAUCUGAUGUGGGGAUUGUUUUGGCCAUUGCUGACAGAUUGGAUAGUCUAGUUGGCUUGUUUGCUGCUGGUUGUCAACCUAGUUCAACCAAUGAUCCUUUUGGUCUACGGAGAAUUUCAUAUGGUCUUGUUCAACUGCUUGUGGAAAAAGAUAAAAAUCUCGAUUUGAAGAAAGCUUUACAGAUAGCUGCUGUUGUACAGCCCAUUGAAGUCGAGGAGACCACAUUACUUGAUGCCCAUCAAUUUGUCACUCGGAGAUUGGAGCAAUAUUUGGUUGAUAGAGGAAUUAGUCCCGAAGUAGUUCGAUCUGUCCUCUCUCAACGUGCGAAUGUGCCUAGUCUGGCAGCAAAGUCGGCUUUCAGAAUGGAAGCAUUGUCCAAAGGUGAGCUUUACCCAAAGGUGGUCGAAGCGUACUCUCGUCCAACAAGAAUCGUCCGUGGAAAGGACAUCAAUGCUGAUAUAGAGGUGGAUGAGGCUGCAUUCGAGACAACGGAAGAAAGAGAAUUAUGGAGUGCCUUCUCGGCAGUGAAAAGCCAAAUCAGUGCGGAUGUCGAGGUUGACACCUUUUUCGACUCAUCUGCUCAACUCGUGCAACCGCUGGAAGAUUUCUUCAAUAAUGUCUUCGUCAUGGUGGAAAACACUAAAAUCAGAGAGAACAGACUUGCCCUGCUCAAGCAAAUUGCAGACCUUCCUAAAGGCAUUGCGGAUCUCUCAGUAUUGCCGGGAUUUUAAGGCAUGGAUUCAGGCAUUCCUCAUUUAUUCUUUCGAGUUCCUUUUGGCAGGAUAGAAGCAUACAGAUUUCGGGGAGGUUACACAUUGUACUUGUAAUAGGCCUGUCCAUACAUACAGUUGAGUAGUAUUGUUUCAGAUGGGGGCAAUAAAGCUUUGUGCCGUUGAUGGGCAGCCAGCAAUAGAUAAAUUGAUUUUUUCUUUUUGCUUUUUUUGGCUUGGUGGGACUGAAUCUCCAUUGAUGUCAUGUUGAGGAGACAUGGAUGUAAUGGUCAAAUGAUGGGCUGGUUUGAUUGAGAUUAAGAUGAGAUCUCCGAUGUUCAUCUUCAGCUCGCACAAUCUUGAUGGUCGGAUGGUUACUUUUCCUUUUUGGGGAUGUGUUUCAGCUCUGAUCCUCUGCUAGAUUGAUGGAUGGCACUGUUGGGGAAGGACGAUCAUCGUCAUCGGAAUGGACGACGCAGUCACUUUUGUGCGAUUCCCUCAGAUUUCAUUGCAGACUCUGUUUGAAAUUAUUGCUCGUUUCUUAUCAGAAGCGAGAAUCGAGAUGAAAAUUUCUGAAAUAAAAUUUGGAAAAUCAGAUCUUGUUCUCUUUGCUUAUGCAAAUUUAUGGGAAAAUCUUGUAUGGUCGGCGUGCUUGGAAAGGAGCAAUAACAUGUGUUGCGGACUUAGGAUUA